This 334-nucleotide ribosomal RNA is filed under the name Clostridioides difficile. RNAcentral's name for it is "bacterial LSU rRNA". It matches the Rfam family "Bacterial large subunit ribosomal RNA", at positions 611 to 944 of the family's 2925-position model. Lineage: Bacteria; Bacillati; Bacillota; Clostridia; Peptostreptococcales; Peptostreptococcaceae. The record is from RNAcentral.
UAGAACGGGCCAACGAGUUACGUUAAGUAGCAAGGUUAAGCACUUAAGGUGCGGAGCCGUAGCGAAAGCGAGUUUUAACUGAGCGUUCAGUUACGUGACGUAGACCCGAAACCGGGCGACCUACCCAUGAGCAGGAGGAAGCGAAAGUAAAAUUUCGUGGAGGUCCGAACCCACGAGCGUUGAAAAGCUCGGGGAUGACUUGUGGGUAGCGGUGAAAUUCCAAUCGAGCCCGGAGAUAGCUGGUUCUCCCCGAAAUAGCUUUAGGGCUAGCCUCAAGGUGAGAGAUACGGAGGUAGAGCACUGAAUGUCCUAGGGGGUAUUGCACCUACCGAAG